Pteropus alecto (black flying fox) is the source of this 74-nucleotide non-coding RNA. The record is from Rfam. NCBI's taxonomy places the organism in Eukaryota, Metazoa, Chordata, Mammalia, Chiroptera, Pteropodidae.
GGCUCCAUAGUGUAGUGGUUAGCACGUCUGCUUUACAUGCAGAAGGUCCUGGGUUCAUGCCCAAGGUGGAGCCA